AGCACACAGAAGUUCCCAGGCCAGGAAUGGAAACUGCGCCAUGGCAGUGACCCAAGCCAGAGCAGUGACAAUGCUGGAUCUUUAACCACUAGGCCCCCAGGGAACUCCCAGGUACAGUCUUAAAAGGUUAGGAGUGACAGAAACACUGCAAACCAUCCGGCCGAGAGUGGGGCUCACCAGUUCAGGUGACUAAAAGCACAGCCUCACGCACCGCUGGAUUCAAGGACCAAAGCUCGGCAUAUUCUCUUUCUGUGUGGGUCUCAUUCUUUCCCUCCUCAGGCCUUCCCCGGUGUUAGGGAACAAGGGUAACCAGCUAGGUACCAUUCCAGUUCAGGGCACGCCAGAAUAAAAGACCAGACAGACAGGUAUACAUUCUAUGGUGGGGCUCUGGUUGGCUGGAUCUGGGUGACAGACUCAGCCCUAGAGAAGAGCCUGGUGAGACUGUCAGAGAGGCCCAUCUCAUGCGGCCUCUGGGCCACCACUGCACUCGACUUCUUACUGUGUAGCAUCUCCAGAACUCUGCUGGGUACUUCUGACUGUGAACUGUUCCCCAUCAGAAGCUUAACCAGCCUCCCAGGCCUGCCUGCCUGACCACCAAGAGAACAGUGGUUCUCAACCAGGCACGUGCAUCAGAACCACCCGUGGAACUUACACACACACACCCCACACACAUGUAUACAGUGAACCUGAAACUCAGGACUCUGCUACAUGUUUGCCACCAUAGUUCCAUGGAUGCCAGAGAAAGCACCAGAUUCCUGGGUCAGAGACACGGCACUUUGAACAACAUAAGCUUCAUGUUCAAGUUGGUUCCCUGGAUCCUCAGGUGCUGCAGAUCACACACAGUGGCCCAGGCAGAUACUGGGCACAUCAUGAGUUUGUGUCACAGCAGAGGUACCCCAAGGUCAAGAGACCCACAGCUCUUCUAGGAACUGCAAGCAAAUAUACCCAGCGUUGACACCAGAGUGAAGCAUUAUCUUCAUUAUCCAAGACACCAAGUAAAUCUGCCCUCUGCUCCGGAAGGAGACACUAUUUCUCUCUCACAGGCAAUCUGUUAUAUAAUCUUCCAUGAAAAGACAGUUGAAAAGAGAGUCUGAACCAAAGGGCUGUGCCCUCCGCUCACAAAACAUGUCAAAACACAAGAGAUCCAUGGGGAAUUUUCUCCUAAUACAAUCCUGGUUAAGAAGCACUGAUGCAGGAUAUUGUCUCUAUGUCUAAAUGUUCUUCAUUUUUCAAACAACUCCCUGACAAAUGAGCUCUUCUGAUCCUGCCUUACGGGUGGGGAAAGGAGCAACUGCCUUAUGAACUACCACUACACAAAAUAGUUUAUUUCUAUAUAGAAACAAACACCAGAUUCAAAUUUGCAGCUGUAGGAACAUGUGAGGGUUAAAUUAAACAACACAUGCAAAGUGCUGGUGCACGGCAGGCAAUAAAAUUUAGUUCUCUCUCUUCUAUGCUUUGCCUCCUUCAUAGCCUUGCCUGGAACUAUCCUGGCCGCACAUCAAGAAUGGCUUAGAUUUAUGUCUUUCUCCCGCUACUGGUGGCACUGCUGAAAGGAGUCCAUUGAAUCCUUUAAAUGAGUCCCAGGAGAGGCACCCAGCAGACUAGGAGGGCAAUAAAAAUGACAGAGCUGCCGGCAACCUGUUAUCUGUGAUUUUAUGAUCUGCCACUCACUUGACUUUACCAUUCCUCCUGACUCCUUUUCCUACUUCCAACCCCUCCCCAUUCUGUUGGCCUUCUCAAGGUCAACCUCGAGAGACCGUCUACACUCUGUGUUCCCUACAGCUCAAGCUCUUACUUGUUCAUUUACUUGGUAGUAAUGUACAGAUGACAUGAUCUCUUCUAUUGAAAAGUCUAAGGAAUUACACUAAAAGAACUGUCAGAGCCAAUAAGAGUAUAGUAAGGUGACAGGAUAUAAGAUCAAUAUACAAAAAUCAAUUGUAUUUCUACACACUAGCAAUGAACAAUCUGAAAAUGAAACUAAGACAAUUCUAUCUGCAAUAGCAUCAAAAAGAACACAAUACCUGGAGUUCCCGUCGUGGCGCAGUGGUUAACAAAUCCGACUAGGAACCAUGAGGUUGCGGGUUCGCUGAAUUUCAUGGCAUGUGAAUUAUAUCUUAAUAAAGCUGUUAUUAAAAAACAAACAAGGCUUCAAACUUCUGAGAUGUGUGAUAUUGAUGCCCAUGCGACCUCAUUUGUACUCAUAAGGUUGUGAAGGAAGAGAAUCUGGUUCUGUUACACACUUUAAUGGAGCAUGUUUCUUAGGUGUGGCUGCAUCUGACCCAGAGAAAAUUACACCUGGCAUCUGACCUGCUAAGAGGUCAGGUUUCUGGGGUUCAGUGCAUAAAUAACCCUAGUUCUAGAGAGAAACAAGCUAGAGGGCCCAGUGCCCCGGUAGAGCUGUUUACACCCACCCUAUUCAC
RNAcentral lists this long non-coding RNA (2420 nucleotides) under Sus scrofa (pig). RNAcentral's name for it is "lncRNA (ENSSSCG00040026380.1)". Lineage: Eukaryota; Metazoa; Chordata; Mammalia; Artiodactyla; Suidae. The record is from RNAcentral.